This 489-nucleotide ribosomal RNA is filed under the name uncultured bacterium. RNAcentral describes it as "SSU rRNA". It matches the Rfam family "Bacterial small subunit ribosomal RNA", at positions 27 to 518 of the family's 1533-position model. The record is from RNAcentral.
AGGAACGAACGUUAGCGGCGCGCUUAACACAUGCAAGUCGCACGAGAAAGGGCUUCGGCCCCGGUACAGUGGCGCACGGGUGAGUAACACGUGGAUAAUCUUCCCUUAGGCGGGGGAUAACCUUCCGAAAGGAGGGCUAAUACCGCAUAAGACCACGCCCUCGAAAGAGGGAGGGGUUAAAGCAGGCCUCUGAAUUCAAGCUUGCACCUGAGGAUGAGUCCGCGGCCCAUCAGCUAGUUGGCAGGGUAAUGGCCUACCAAGGCGACGACGGGUAGCUGGUCUGAGAGGACGAUCAGCCACACUGGGAUUGAGAACGGCCCAGACUCCUACGGGGGCAGCAGUGAGGAAUUUUCGUCAAUGGGGGCAACCCUGAACGAGCAACGCCGCGUGCAGGAAGAAGGUUUUCGGAUCGUAAACUGCUUUUCUCGGGGAAGAGAACGGACGGUACCCGAGGAAUCAGCCCCGGCUAACUACGUGCCAGCAGGCCGC